RNAcentral lists this ribosomal RNA (274 nucleotides) under uncultured bacterium. RNAcentral describes it as "partial 16S ribosomal RNA". It matches the Rfam family "Bacterial small subunit ribosomal RNA", at positions 523 to 796 of the family's 1533-position model. The record is from RNAcentral.
AUACGGAGGGUGCAAGCGUUACUCGGAAUCACUGGGCGUAAAGCGCGCGCAGGCGGGCUGAUAAGUUGGAUGAGAAAGCCUACGGCUCAACCGUAGAACUGCAUCCAAAACUGUCAGUCUAGAGUGUGGGAGAGGAAGAUGGAAUUAGUUGUGUAGGGGUAAAAUCCGUAGAGAUAACUAGGAAUACCAAAAGCGAAGGCAAUCUUCUGGAACACUACUGACGCUGAGGCGCGAAGGCGUGGGGAGCAAACAGGAUUAGAAACCCUAGUAGUCC